GGAAGCGUAUCGAAGUGGUCAUAACGGGGCGCACUCGAAAUGCGUUGGCCUUCACGGGCACGUGGGUUCGAAUCCCACCGCUUCCGCCA
RNAcentral lists this transfer RNA (89 nucleotides) under Clostridia bacterium. RNAcentral's name for it is "tRNA-Ser". It matches the Rfam family "tRNA". Rfam says of the family: Transfer RNA (tRNA) molecules are approximately 80 nucleotides in length. Their secondary structure includes four short double-helical elements and three loops (D, anti-codon, and T loops). The record is from RNAcentral. Lineage: Bacteria; Bacillati; Bacillota; Clostridia.